GUGGCCCUGAAUCAAGGCCAGCAGUUUGCUGAAGUUGCUGGUUUCAAACAGGAGCCUAAAGUGAAGUCUUUCUAUGGUCUGUUGGCCAUUUCAGAACUUUGGAAAUGUAAUGGUCAAUUCAUUAGAAAGAAACAGCU
Molecule: small nucleolar RNA, 137 nt
Organism: Heterocephalus glaber (naked mole-rat)
Lineage: Eukaryota; Metazoa; Chordata; Mammalia; Rodentia; Bathyergidae
Source: Ensembl